Molecule: long non-coding RNA, 618 nt
Filed under: Homo sapiens (human)
Lineage: Eukaryota; Metazoa; Chordata; Mammalia; Primates; Hominidae
Description: long intergenic non-protein coding RNA 2015
Source: RNAcentral
ACUCCAAAGAACACAUUUAACAGCCGGGAAGAAAAUUGUAGGAAAAGAGAGCACUUUGGCACGGAAGGGAAUGCAAACUUGAUCUUGACUUUAAGGUCAAAGCAUUUUCAGAAUGUGCAGUCAGCAGAGAAUUGAAAAAAAAAAUCAAUGUGAAACAUAUUAGAGAAGAAUAAGGGGAAGAGUGAUGCAGAAGUGCUGGGAAGUCAUGCAGGGAUUGGAAACCACAAAGAUUCUACAGAAAGGUCUAUCGCCCUGGUUGGAGUGCAGCAGUGUAAUCAUAGCUCACUGCUGCCAUGAACUUCUGGGCUCAAGCGAUCCUCCCACCUCAGCCUCCCUGUGUGCUGGGAUUAAAAGUGUGAGCCACCGUGCCUCAUCGUAAGGGUCUUAAAAGAAACCCUAUUUCAUCCAAUUGGAUGGUGCUUUUUCCAGACCCACAAAUGGCUGCCCAUGGACCAAGCAGUAUGUACUUCCUCCAUUCUGAGCCCAUGAAAACCCCAGACUCAGUCAGACUCUGACACUCAUCAGGAUGACAAGCCUGCAAAUAGGAUCUACCCAUUUUGGGUAUGCACUCCACUGAGAGCUAUUCUGUCACUCAAUAAAGCUCCUUUCUGCCUUGCU